GGCACACAGUGGAGCAGCGGCGGGAAUCACUCGACACUCAGCGAUCGUUCAUGGGUGUGGAUCAAAAAUAAACAGAGCUGAAUCCAGAGCAGCACAUCCAUGAUAUGUGACACCGCAACCACUGAACCUGCCGAGACCAAUGACACUCCUCAUUUUCAGUCUUUUUCAUCUUACCACAAUAUCUCCAGUUUACAGUGAGGAUUCUCCAAUCCACCAGAGAGCAACUUUACCCCCGAGUCUCUUAGUUUAUUCCAUGAGAGGUCCAGUUCUCUCAGGUGUGAGGGGUUUGAUGUCAUA
Onychostoma macrolepis is the source of this 297-nucleotide long non-coding RNA. RefSeq lists it as uncharacterized. The record is from RefSeq and is a predicted model, not a curated record. The transcript is spliced from 3 exons. Lineage: Eukaryota; Metazoa; Chordata; Actinopteri; Cypriniformes; Cyprinidae.